Zingiber officinale is the source of this 603-nucleotide long non-coding RNA. RefSeq lists it as uncharacterized. The transcript is spliced from 3 exons. NCBI's taxonomy places the organism in Eukaryota, Viridiplantae, Streptophyta, Magnoliopsida, Zingiberales, Zingiberaceae. The record is from RefSeq and is a predicted model, not a curated record.
CCUCGGUGGACGAACCGAAUGUUCCGGUUGCUUCCCUUCUCACAGGCGGUUCGCUGUGCGCCGUCCGCCCGGCUCGGAUCGGCCGGAGUCCCGUCCCGAUGAAUCGAUCCGUCGUCUCCACCUCGCUCUCUGCCCGGUUCUUCAGUUGAUCCGAAGCGAUUGAUGAGUAUUACGUCGCGGAAUCGACUGUUUUAGAAUCGAGUCUCCUCUUCGACCUUGACUCGCUGGGAUGGAGAGGUGGAGGGGUUUAGGCGAUUCAUAGAACCGAUCGGCGGAGCAGUUCCAGUUUUUGAUUCUUCCCUCCAGAUGCUACAGCGAAUUGUAUGUAUAACCGGAUCAAUUAGGGCACGGGGUCACAGUUUCUUCAUCAUCAUAGUGUUCGAAAUGUGGACAGACAAGGAGACAGGAAAGGUUCAAUUUCUUGGACGCUUGGAGACCGGCAGCCAUCUCUCGGAAAGAUUCCUCCUCGUCUGAGUGCUCUCUUCUUAAAAGGCUGAUCUACUCUAACUGUAUGUUUUGUGCAACUAGUAAUGGAGAAUAUAAAUCCUACUUUCUGAGUUUUGCUUCUGUUGAAAAUAAAAAUACAUGGAUUUUUUCACGAUA